RNAcentral lists this ribosomal RNA (468 nucleotides) under uncultured bacterium. RNAcentral describes it as "partial 16S ribosomal RNA". It matches the Rfam family "Bacterial small subunit ribosomal RNA", at positions 28 to 507 of the family's 1533-position model. The record is from RNAcentral.
GACGAACGCUGGCGGCGUGCUUAACACAUGCAAGUCGAACGGAAAGGCCCUGCUUUUGUGGGGUGCUCGAGUGGCGAACGGGUGGGUAACACGUGAGUAACCUGCCCUUGACUUUGGGAUAACUUCAGGAAACUGGGGCUAAUAACGGAUAGGAGCUCCUGCUGCAUGGUGGGGGUUGGAAAGUUUCGGCGGUUGGGGAUGGACUCGCGGCUUAUCAGCUUGUUGGUGGGGUAGUGGCUUACCAAGGCUUUGACGGGUAGCCGGCCUGAGAGGGUGACCGGCCACAUUGGGACUGAGAUACGGCCCAGACUCCUACGGGAGGCAGCAGUGGGGAAUAUUGCACAAUGGGCGGAAGCCUGAUGCAGCAACGCCGCGUGCGGGAUGACGGCCUUCGGGUUGUAAACCGCUUUCGCCUGUGACGAAGCGUGAGUGACGGUAAUGGGUAGAGAAGCACCGGCUAACUACGUG